Long non-coding RNA from Mercurialis annua (annual mercury), 606 nucleotides. RefSeq lists it as uncharacterized. The record is from RefSeq and is a predicted model, not a curated record. The transcript is spliced from 3 exons. Lineage: Eukaryota; Viridiplantae; Streptophyta; Magnoliopsida; Malpighiales; Euphorbiaceae.
UGAAGAACAACGAUUUCUUCAUCAACAUCAGUAGAAAUUAGGUUACUCAAAAACUAAAAUUCAAAAAUCGAUCAGAAGAGCAAUUCAAGAUAAACAAAUUUUCAAUUUCUGAUAAAAUUGUGUUAAUUCUAUAAUUGAUCAAAUUUUUCUCGAUUGUUCAACUAUUACUUUGAUUUCAAGUAUCCAAUUCCUCAUCUAAUUCAGGUAAAUUCAUGAAGAUUGGACAAGUUGUUGGUUUGCGGCUAAAAGACAGCCUAAAAAGUGCAUUUCAAUCAGUGGACCAUGCACGCAAACAAUUUAUCAAGUCAAAGAGAAGCAAAAUAGGCAUAUUAUGGCUGAAGGUUAUAUUUUAUUAAGUGAAUAUGAAGGAGUGAUCAAAAACUGUUUCAAUUAUUUGUAGCAACCAACCGAGCAACCAAAGAGCAACCGACAAACAACCAAAAAGCAUCCAAAGGUCCACUGACAGAGCAAUCAAAGAGCACCGACGACUGGUCAAAAGCAACAAAAGAGCAAUAAACGGGCAACCAAAACUGAAAUAAAAUCAAAUAUAAAGCAUACACACAUCUCUUUAGAGAACAUUUAUAUUUAGUUUAAUCUAUUUAAAGU